This 139-nucleotide small nucleolar RNA is filed under the name Setaria italica (foxtail millet). Its description in RNAcentral is "Small nucleolar RNA Z247". It matches the Rfam family "Small nucleolar RNA Z247". Rfam says of the family: Z247 is a member of the C/D class of snoRNA which contain the C (UGAUGA) and D (CUGA) box motifs. Most of the members of the box C/D family function in directing site-specific 2'-O-methylation of substrate RNAs. Lineage: Eukaryota; Viridiplantae; Streptophyta; Magnoliopsida; Poales; Poaceae. The record is from Rfam by way of RNAcentral.
GCGAUUGAAGAUGACUAGAGGGUGUCUCACAUCCUCACGAGGCUCGACUAUGACUACAACCCGUUGGUGUCUUCGGUGAUGGGGCGCACAGAUCCCAUCUCGCUAAGUGAGUUAUACUCUCAGAUCCUUGCCUAUGAUA